UGGGGAAUCUUGCGCAAUGCACGAAAGUGUGACGCAGCAACGCCGCGUGGGGGAAGAAGGCCUUCGGGUUGUAAACCCCUUUCAGGAGGGACGAAGUGCCGGCCGUUAAUAGCGGUUCGGCAUGACGGUACCUCCACAAGAAGCCCCGGCUAACUACGUGCCAGCAGCCGCGGUAAUACGUAGGGGGCAAGCGUUGUCCGGAAUCAUUGGGCGUAAAGAGCGCGUAGGCGGUCCGGUAAGUCCGCUCUGAAAGUCCGGGGCUCAACCCCGGGAGGCGGGCGGAUACUGCCGGGCUAGAGUCCGGAAGAGGCGAGUGGAAUUCCUGGUGUAGCGGUGAAAUGCGCAGAUAUCAGGAGGAACACCAAUGGCGAAGGCAGCUCGCUGGGACGGUACUGACGCUGAGGCGCGAAAGCGUGGGGAGCAAACAGGAUUAGAUACCCGCGUAGUCC
Molecule: ribosomal RNA, 449 nt
Filed under: uncultured bacterium
Lineage: Bacteria
Description: bacterial SSU rRNA
Rfam family: Bacterial small subunit ribosomal RNA
Source: RNAcentral